This is a non-coding RNA of Myotis lucifugus (little brown bat), 75 nucleotides long. The record is from Rfam. NCBI's taxonomy places the organism in Eukaryota, Metazoa, Chordata, Mammalia, Chiroptera, Vespertilionidae.
GCCGGUUCUCAGGGGACACACCCCUGAAUCAGGCUCCCUCCUCUCUGGUUCCGGGUGCAUCACCCGAGAAACGGA